Molecule: long non-coding RNA, 409 nt
Organism: Spodoptera frugiperda (fall armyworm)
Lineage: Eukaryota; Metazoa; Arthropoda; Insecta; Lepidoptera; Noctuidae
Exons: 2
Source: RefSeq, a predicted model, not a curated record
CGAUGUAAGGCCAUCAUUCGAGUGAAGUGGAGCAACACACAUCAACAUGAAACUGUUCAACCUGCUAGUGCUGGUCCUCGCGGUGGUCGCCAUGUUGAUGGGCGGCGCCAGCGCACACCCCAAGGGCGCGGGGGGCGGCUUGAGGAAAGGAUUUAAAGCUAUUAAAGCUGGAAUCGGGGCUAUCGGCGCCAUAGGUACGGGUCAUGAAAUCUAUGAACAAGUCAAACACAGGAGAGGUUAAAUAUAUAUAAAUAAUGUAGGUAAUUAACCCUACUGGACAUCUAUUGUGGUAUUGAAAAGCCAAUGUUAUUGUUUAAAACAAGUUUAUUAAUAGAUAACUUGUGAAACUUUGUUAUAGGUAUCAAUUAAAUGUAGUUAGUAAAAUAAAUGGUUGACGUUUACUAACAUA